AACUUGGUAGACCCACUGACCUAGUUUCCAUGGCUUGAAAAUAUAAUUCAUGGGAAAAUGAUGCUUAACAAUUCCCUUUUCAGAGCCAUGGUCUAGUAGUGGCAUCUUUGAACCUGCACGUCCUUCCCUCUUCAUAAAUUGUAUGGCCCUCUUUUCUCCACCUAAACAUGCAAUAAGAUACCUCCCAAAGCAGUACAUAGCAAAGGAUUCAUAGCAAUCUCGCAGUAUCCCAAUGUCAACACUA
This 244-nucleotide unclassified non-coding RNA is filed under the name Hevea brasiliensis (rubber tree). The record is from RNAcentral. Lineage: Eukaryota; Viridiplantae; Streptophyta; Magnoliopsida; Malpighiales; Euphorbiaceae.